GCGCUAGGCGGGGAGCUAGCGGUGCCCUAUACCCGCAAUCCGCUACAGCGGGGCUGAAUGCUUUUCUAGGGAUUUUUUAUGGUUGGCCGAAUGCCGUAAGGGACGUUGAUGUUAAGGUCUUGUGCAAUAUCGCCUUGCGAAACGUGUCAGGACGGGAACGUAGCAGCACUAAACAAACGCCGAUAUGUGCCACAAGGUAGCUUUAACGGAGUUACCUGCGUCGUUACCGC
RNAcentral lists this signal recognition particle RNA (230 nucleotides) under human gut metagenome. Its description in RNAcentral is "Bacterial large signal recognition particle RNA". It matches the Rfam family "Bacterial large signal recognition particle RNA", at positions 3 to 230 of the family's 256-position model. From Rfam's summary of the family: The signal recognition particle (SRP) is a universally conserved ribonucleoprotein involved in the co-translational targeting of proteins to membranes. Archaeal SRP consists of a 7S RNA and homologues of the eukaryotic SRP19 and SRP54 proteins. In most bacteria, the SRP consists of a 4.5S RNA and the Ffh protein (a homologue of the eukaryotic SRP54 protein). The record is from RNAcentral.